ACACCUAUAACGAGCUGGUCAACUUGGCCAUCUCACAAGAGGAUUGCAUGUAGGCUCUCAAAGCUGACUAGAAGAGAAAGGCCUCCGUGGCGUUUUCGAGCCAGCCAACUCGAAGGUUCAGGAUGGUUCCUCCACAGGCGCCCAGCCGACCUCAGCAGUCGGGAAGAUGGGUUGCCCGACCCCCGCUAGCGGCAGCACCUCGUUUUCCUGGCUCCCAACCACAGGCGCCCCGGCCGACCCUACAGUCACCACCGCGUCCUGCAACUGGUAACCGUUGCUUCACCUGCGGCAAUGAAGGGCAUUUCGCCAAGGACC
This 315-nucleotide long non-coding RNA is filed under the name Setaria italica (foxtail millet). RNAcentral's name for it is "long non-coding RNA (SITA_LNC002418)". The record is from RNAcentral. Lineage: Eukaryota; Viridiplantae; Streptophyta; Magnoliopsida; Poales; Poaceae.